UACGUAGGCAGCAAGCGUUGUUCGGAGUUACUGGGCGUAAAGGGUGCGUAGGCGGCCCUGUAAGUAUGGUGUGAAAUCGUCCCGGCUUAACUGGGAGGGUGCGCUAUAGACUGCGGGGCUCGAGUGUGGGAGAGGAAAGUGGAAUUCCUGGUGUAGCGGUGAAAUGCGUAGAUAUCAGGAGGAACACCGGUGGUGUAAACGGCUUUCUGGACCAUAACUGACGCUGGAGGCACGAAAGCGUGGUAGCAAACAGG
RNAcentral lists this ribosomal RNA (254 nucleotides) under uncultured bacterium. RNAcentral describes it as "partial 16S ribosomal RNA". It matches the Rfam family "Bacterial small subunit ribosomal RNA", at positions 524 to 776 of the family's 1533-position model. The record is from RNAcentral.